This 520-nucleotide ribosomal RNA is filed under the name uncultured bacterium. Its description in RNAcentral is "bacterial SSU rRNA". It matches the Rfam family "Bacterial small subunit ribosomal RNA", at positions 1 to 524 of the family's 1533-position model. The record is from RNAcentral.
UAGAGUUUGAUCCUGGCUCAGAUUGAACGCUGGCGGAAUGCUUUACACAUGCAAGUCGAGCGGCAGCGCGGGGCAACCUGGCGGCGAGCGGCGAACGGGUGAGUAAUGCAUCGGAACGUACCCAGUCGUGGGGGAUAACUAUCCGAAAGGAUAGCUAAUACCGCAUACGUCCUGAGGGAGAAAGUGGGGGACCGCAAGGCCUCACGCGAUUGGAGCGGCCGAUGUUCGAUUAGCUAGUUGGUGAGGUAAAGGCUCACCAAGGCGACGAUCGAUAGCUGGUCUGAGAGGAUGAUCAGCCACACUGGGACUGAGACACGGCCCAGACUCCUACGGGAGGCAGCAGUGGGGAAUUUUGGACAAUGGGGGCAACCCUGAUCCAGCCAUUCCGCGUGAGUGAAGAAGGCCUUCGGGUUGUAAAGCUCUUUCGGCAGGAACGAAACGGUGCGGGUUAAUACCCUGCAUCAAUGACGGUACCUGAAGAAGAAGCACCGGCUAACUACGUGCCAGCAGCCCCGGUCAG